GACGAACGCUGGCGGCGUGCUUAACACAUGCAAGUCGAACGGUGAAGCGCCUUCCUUUUUGGUUGGUGUGGAUGAGUGGCGAACGGGUGAGUAACACUUGAGUAACCUUCCCCCUUCUUCUGGAUAACCGCAUUAAAGUGUGGCUAAUACGGGAUAUUCUGGUUCUUUCGCAUGAUGGGUCUGGGACAGCUAUUGUUUCGGUGGGGGAUGGGCUCGCGGCCUAUCAGCUUGUUGUUGGGGUGAUGGCCUACCAAGGCGGUGAGGGGUGGACGGCCUGAGAGGGUGGACGGUCACAGUGGGACUGAGACACGGUUGGGACUGAUACGGGAGGCAGAAGUGGGGAAGAUUGAACAAUGGGGGAAAGCGUGAUGCAGGGAGGACGCGGGAGGGAUGGAGGCGUUCGGGUGGUGAAGCUCUUUGGCCAGUGAAGCAGGCCUGCCUGGUUUGUGGGUGGGGUGACGGUAGCGGGAUAAGAAGCGCCGGCUAACUACGUG
This 494-nucleotide ribosomal RNA is filed under the name uncultured bacterium. RNAcentral describes it as "partial 16S ribosomal RNA". It matches the Rfam family "Bacterial small subunit ribosomal RNA", at positions 28 to 507 of the family's 1533-position model. The record is from RNAcentral.